UACGAAGGGGGCUAGCGUUGUUCGGAAUUACUGGGCGUAAAGCGCACGUAGGCUGACAGUUAAGUGAGGGGUGAAAUCCCGAGGCUCAACCUCGGAACUGCCUUUCAUACUGGCUGUCUCGAGUCCGGAAGAGGUUAGUGGAAUUCCUAGUGUAGAGGUGAAAUUCGUAGAUAUUAGGAAGAACACCAGUGGCGAAGGCGGCUAACUGGUCCGGUACUGACGCUGAGGUGCGAAAGCGUGGGGAGCAAACAGG
Molecule: ribosomal RNA, 253 nt
Filed under: uncultured bacterium
Lineage: Bacteria
Description: partial 16S ribosomal RNA
Rfam family: Bacterial small subunit ribosomal RNA
Source: RNAcentral